This 1131-nucleotide long non-coding RNA is filed under the name Anas platyrhynchos platyrhynchos (common mallard). RNAcentral's name for it is "lncRNA (ENSAPLG00000025784.1)". Lineage: Eukaryota; Metazoa; Chordata; Aves; Anseriformes; Anatidae. The record is from RNAcentral.
AUGCUUGGGGUCCUUUUUUGGGGUGUCCCCAAAUUUUUGGGAUCCCUUUUGGGGUGUCCCCAGAUUUUUGGGGUCCCUUUUGGGGGGUUCCCAAAUAUUUGGGGUCCCUUUUGGGGUGUCCCCAUAGGUCUGGGUCCUGUUUUGGGGACACCCGGGUCCCUUUUGGGGGUGUUUCCAAAUGCUUGGGGUCCUUUUUUGGGGUGUUCCCAGAUUUUUGGGGUCCAUUUAGGGGCUUUCCAAAUGUUUGGGGUCCUUUUUGGGUUGUCCCCAAAUGUUUGGGGUCCCUUUUGGGGUGACCCUAUAUGUCUGGGUCCUGUUUUGGGGACGCAUGGGUCUCUUUUCGGGAUGUCCCCAAACUCUUGGGUUCCUUUUUGGGGGGGUUCCCAGAUUUUUGGGGUCCCUUUUGGGGUGUCCCAAAAUUUUUGGGGUCCUUUUUGGGGUGUCCCCGGGUUUGUGGGGUCCCGGGGGUCCCCCUGUGACCCCCCCUUGUCCCCGUGUCCCCCCCCAAAUUCCCGUGUCCCCCCCCCCCCAAAAAAUUCCCAUCUCCUUUCGGCACCAACCCCAUGCGCCCUGCUCCUGUUUUUGGGAUUCUCCAUUCCUUGGGGGAUCCCACCCUUUUUUGGGGUCCCUUUUUGGGGUAUCCCCGGGUUUGUGGGGUCUCGGGGGUCCCCGUCUGACCCCCCCUUGUCCCUGUGUCCCCCCCCCCAUUCCCCUGUCCCCCCCCCCCCCACAAAAAAUUCCCCUCUCCUUUCGGCACCAACCCCAUGCGCCCCGGUCCCGUUUUUGGGAUUCUCCAUUCCGGGAGGGAUCCCACCCUUUUUUGGGGUCUUUUUUGGGGUGUCCCCGAACUUGUGGGGUCCUGGGGGUCCCCGCCUGACCCCCCCUUGUCCCCGUGUCCCCCCCCAAAUUCCCGUGUCCCCCCCCCCAAAUUCCCAUCUCCUUUUGGCACCAUGCGCCCCGCUCCCGUUUUUGGGAUUCUCCAUUCCGGGGGGGAUCCCAACCCUUUUUAGGGUCCUUUUUGGGGUGUCCCCGGGCUUUUGGGGUCCCGGGGGUCCCCCUGUGACCCCCCCAAAUUCCCGUGUCCCCCCCCCAGGCAGCUGUUCUGUGAUUUUGGGGACGACAUGGUGGUGA